AACGGGCUCUUCGGAGCUAGUGGCGGACGGGUGAGUAACGCGUGAGGAUCUGCCCUUAGGACGGGGACAACAGCUGGAAACGGCUGCUAAUACCCGAUGUGCCGAGAGGUGAAACUAUUUGGCCUGAGGAUGAGCUCGCGUCUGAUUAGCUAGUUGGAGUGGUAACGGCACACCAAGGCGACGAUCAGUAGCUGGUCUGAGAGGAUGAUCAGCCACACUGGGACUGAGACACGGCCCAGACUCCUACGGGAGGCAGCAGUGGGGAAUUUUCCGCAAUGGGCGAAAGCCUGACGGAGCAAGACCGCGUGCGGGAGGAAGGUCUAUUGAUUGUAAACCGCUUUUGAUAGGGAAGAAGAUCUGACGGUACCUAUCGAAUCAGCAUCGGCUAACUCCGUGCCAGCAGCCGCGGUAAUACGGGGGAUGCAAGCGUUAUCCGGAAUUAUUGGGCGUAAAGCGUCCGUAGGUGGUUUUAAAAGUCUGUUGUCAAAUCGCGAGGCUUAACCUCGUACAGGCAGUGGAAACUAUAAGACUAGAGUGCGGUAGGGGUAGAGGGAAUUUCCAGUGUAGCGGUGAAAUGCGUAGAUAUUGGAAAGAACACCGGUGGCGAAGGCGCUCUACUGGGCCUGCACUGACACUGAGGGACGAAAGCUAGGGGAGCGAAAGGGAUUAGAUACCCCUGUAGUCCUAGCCGUAAACGAUGGAAACUAGGUGUUGCCCGUAUCGACCCGAGCCGUGCCGAAGC
RNAcentral lists this ribosomal RNA (742 nucleotides) under cyanobacterium enrichment culture clone 2_4_2.4.7_H04-T7. RNAcentral describes it as "bacterial SSU rRNA". It matches the Rfam family "Bacterial small subunit ribosomal RNA", at positions 65 to 852 of the family's 1533-position model. Lineage: Bacteria; Bacillati; Cyanobacteriota. The record is from RNAcentral.